UGGGGAAUAUUGCGCAAUGGGGGAAACCCUGACGCAGCAACGCCGCGUGAAGGAUGAAGGUUUUCGGAUUGUAAACUUCUUUUGCAGGGGAAGAUAAUGACGGUACCCUGCGAAUAAGCCACGGCUAACUACGUGCCAGCAGCCGCGGUAAUACGUAGGUGGCAAGCGUUGUCCGGAUUUACUGGGUGUAAAGGGCGAGUAGGCGGGAUCGUAAGUCAGUAGUGAAAUGCGGAGGCUCAACCUCCGAGCUGCUAUUGAAACUACGGUUCUUGAGUGAUGGAGAGGCAGGCGGAAUUCCCGGUGUAGCGGUGAAAUGCGUAGAGAUCGGGAGGAACACCAGUGGCGAAGGCGGCCUGCUGGACAUUAACUGACGCUGAGGCGCGAAAGCGUGGGGAGCAAACA
This is a ribosomal RNA of 402 nucleotides. It matches the Rfam family "Bacterial small subunit ribosomal RNA", at positions 355 to 774 of the family's 1533-position model.